This 508-nucleotide ribosomal RNA is filed under the name uncultured bacterium. RNAcentral describes it as "partial 16S ribosomal RNA". It matches the Rfam family "Bacterial small subunit ribosomal RNA", at positions 30 to 523 of the family's 1533-position model. The record is from RNAcentral.
AUUGAACGCUGGCGGCAUGCCUUACACAUGCAAGUCGAACGGCAGCGGGGGAGAAGCUUGCUUUUCCUGCCGGCGAGUGGCGAACGGGUGAGUAAUACAUCGGAACGUGCCCUGUAGUGGGGGAUAACUAGUCGAAAGAUUAGCUAAUACCGCAUACGACCUGAGGGUGAAAGUGGGGGACCGCAAGGCCUCAUGCUAUAGGAGCGGCCGAUGUCUGAUUAGCUAGUUGGUGGGGUAAAGGCCUACCAAGGCGACGAUCAGUAGCUGGUCUGAGAGGACGAUCAGCCACACUGGGACCGAGACACGGUCCAGACUCCUACGGGAGGCAGCAGUGGGGAAUUUUGGACAAUGGGCGAAAGCCUGAUCCAGCAAUGCCGCGUGUGUGAAGAAGGCCUUCGGGUUGUAAAGCACUUUUGUCCGGAAAGAAAUGGCUCUGGUUAAUACCUGGGGUCGAUGACGGUACCGGAAGAAUAAGGACCGGCUAACUACGUGCCAGCAGCCGCGGUAA